UCGAGCGCACCUUCGGGUGAGCGGCGGACGGGUUAGUAACGCGUGGGAACAUACCCUUUUCUACGGAAUAGCCUCGGGAAACUGAGAGUAAUACCGUAUACGCCCUUCGGGGGAAAGAUUUAUCGGUGAAGGAUUGGCCCGCGUCUGAUUAGAUAGUUGGUGGGGUAAUGGCCUACCAAGUCUACGAUCAGUAGCUGGUUUGAGAGGAUGAUCAGCAACACUGGGACUGAGACACGGCCCAGACUCCUACGGGAGGCAGCAGUGGGGAAUCUUAGACAAUGGGCGCAAGCCUGAUCUAGCGAUGCCGCGUGAGUGAUGAAGGUCUUAGGAUCGUAAAGCUCUUUCGCCAGGGAUGAUAAUGACAGUACCUGGUAAAGAAACCCCGGCUAACUCCGUGCCAGCAGCCGCGGUAAUACGGAGGGGGUUAGCGUUGUUCGGAAUUACUGGGCGUAAAGCGCGCGUAGGCGGAUUAUUAAGUUAGAGGUGAAAUCCCGGGGCUCAACCCCGGAACUGCCUUUAAUACUGGUAAUCUAGAGUUCGAGAGAGGUGAGUGGAAUUCCGAGUGUAGAGGUGAAAUUCGUAGAUAUUCGGAGGAACACCAGUGGCGAAGGCGGCUCACUGGCUCGAUACUGACGCUGAGGUGCGAAAGCGUGGGGAGCAAACA
Molecule: ribosomal RNA, 664 nt
Filed under: Rhodobacteraceae bacterium ACEMC 1F-8
Lineage: Bacteria; Pseudomonadati; Pseudomonadota; Alphaproteobacteria; Rhodobacterales; Paracoccaceae
Description: bacterial SSU rRNA
Rfam family: Bacterial small subunit ribosomal RNA
Source: RNAcentral